RNAcentral lists this ribosomal RNA (253 nucleotides) under uncultured bacterium. RNAcentral describes it as "partial 16S ribosomal RNA". It matches the Rfam family "Bacterial small subunit ribosomal RNA", at positions 524 to 776 of the family's 1533-position model. The record is from RNAcentral.
UACGUAGGGUGCGAGCGUUGUCCGGAAUUAUUGGGCGUAAAGAGCUUGUAGGCGGUUUGUCGCGUCUGCUGUGAAAUCUCAAGGCUCAACCUUGAACUUGCGGUGGGUACGGGCAGACUAGAGUGUGGUAGGGGAGACUGGAAUUCCUGGUGUAGCGGUGAAAUGCGCAGAUAUCAGGAGGAACACCGGUGGCGAAGGCGGGUCUCUGGGCCGAUACUGACGCUGAGGAGCGAAAGCGUGGGGAGCGAACAGG